GUAGAAGCGGCAGGUAGAAGCGGCGGGUAGCAGUGGUAGGGUAGCAGCGGUAGAGUAGCAGUGGUAGGGUAGCAGUGGUAGGGUAGAAACGGCAGGUAGAAGCGGUAGGGUAGGAGCAGCGGUAGGUAGAAGCGGUUGGUAGCAGUGGUAGGGUAGCAGCAGCGGUAGGGUAGAGGCAGCAGUAGGUAGCAGCAGUAGGGUAGCAGCAGUAGGUAGCAGCGGCAGGUAGCAGCGGUAGGGUAGAAGCGGCAGGUAGCAGCGGCAGGUAGAAGCGGUAGGGUAGUAGCGUUAGGGUAGCAGCGCCAGGUAGAAGUGGUAGGGUAGAAGCAGCGGUUGGUAGCAGUGGUAGGGUAGCAGCGAUAGGGUAGCAGAAGUAGGUAGCAGCAGUAGGGUAGCAGAGGUAGGGUAGAAGCGGCAGUAGGUAGCAGCAGUAGGGUAGGAGCGAUAUGGUAGCAGGGGUAAGGUAGCAGCAGUAGGUAGCAGCAGUAAGGUAGCAGCAGUAGGGUAGAAGCAGUAGAUAGCAGCAGUAGGGUAGAGGCAGUAGGGUAGGAGCAGUAGGGUAGAAGAAGUAGGGUAUCAGCAGUAGGGUAGCAGGAGUAGGUAGCAGCAGUAGGGUAGCAGAAGUAGGGUAGCAGCAGUAGGGUAGAGGAAGUAGGGUAGCAGCAGUCAGUAGGUAGAAGUGGUAGGUAGCAGCAGUAGAUAGCAGCAGUAGGUAGCAGCUGUAGGUAGCAGGGGUAGGGUAGCAGCGGUAGGUUUCAGCGGUUGGUAGCAGCGGUAGGGUAGCAGC
This 787-nucleotide long non-coding RNA is filed under the name Salmo salar (Atlantic salmon). RNAcentral's name for it is "lncRNA (ENSSSAG00000114159.1)". The record is from RNAcentral. Lineage: Eukaryota; Metazoa; Chordata; Actinopteri; Salmoniformes; Salmonidae.